AGCCCGGAAAUGGGUACUGAGACAGGACCCAGGCCCUAUGGGGCGCAGCAGGCGAGAAAACUUUGCAAUGCGCGAAAGCUCGACAAGGUUAAUCUGAGUGGUUCCUGCUAAAGGAACCUUUUGUUAGUCGUAAACCACUGAUGAAUAAGGGGUGGGCAAGUUCUGGUGUCAGCCGCCGCGGUAA
This 184-nucleotide ribosomal RNA is filed under the name uncultured archaeon. Its description in RNAcentral is "partial 16S ribosomal RNA". It matches the Rfam family "Archaeal small subunit ribosomal RNA", at positions 287 to 473 of the family's 1478-position model. The record is from RNAcentral.